Molecule: transfer RNA, 73 nt
Filed under: Chitinophagaceae bacterium
Lineage: Bacteria; Pseudomonadati; Bacteroidota; Chitinophagia; Chitinophagales; Chitinophagaceae
Description: tRNA-Thr
Rfam family: tRNA
About the family: Transfer RNA (tRNA) molecules are approximately 80 nucleotides in length. Their secondary structure includes four short double-helical elements and three loops (D, anti-codon, and T loops).
Source: RNAcentral
GCCACCUUAGCUCAGUUGGUAGAGCAACUGAUUUGUAAUCAGUAGGUCGCCAGUUCGACUCUGGCAGGUGGCU